This is a long non-coding RNA of Oreochromis niloticus (Nile tilapia), 3558 nucleotides long. RefSeq lists it as uncharacterized. Lineage: Eukaryota; Metazoa; Chordata; Actinopteri; Cichliformes; Cichlidae. The record is from RefSeq and is a predicted model, not a curated record. The transcript is spliced from 3 exons.
CUGCCCUGCAGGGAGUUCCACUUUCUUUCACAAUCUAAUCCAGAAAGACUCAGCUUCACAAAAAGCUUUUCACCAGACUUUUCAACCUACCCGUAGAUUAACCACCGGCUGAUGAAGGGCUUCAGCAUCUUUGGAAACUGAAACAGAAUAGACACUACAAACAAAGGUUUCUACACAAGAUGAAGAAAUCAUUGACACCACGUUUGACCAAGGAUGUGAGUGGCUGCAUCAGUGACAGACCUGACUGACUCUGCAUAUCUGAACAAUGGUAUGGACACAGGCACCAGCUGCUGGAUCUGUAGGAUCUGUAGCUGGAUCCCCCACAAAACAGAUACUUUAAACACUCGAUGGCAUGAUAAAGCCAAUGACCACAGAGGUAAUCCCAGCCCAAGUGAGCAUCGCUGAGGGGGUGCCAGUGUAAAUGCGAAUGUUGUUUCUGGCUGAUGGUCACACAGAGCCAAGAAUGUAGCCUAUACUGACUUGUGUCAGCAUAACCGCCAGUGUGACAAAGAUGAUAAUUCCCAAGCUGUGAUAGACAAAGAGAGGAUGAUGAUCAUUGUGAUGGAUAGACUGUCUGAAGCAAGAGACUGUUUAAUGAUAAUCAUGAAGUGGUCUAAACUUUUACUGUAUAUGAUGCUGAAGAUUCUUUGGCCUUCUAGCUCAUUUAGUAGCAGAAUUAUUAUAAAAUUAAUUUAGCAUUGGACAUUUUGUAACAUUCACGAUGGCAACUGCACAGACUUCUUGGAUAAUUGACUGUUUAUACAAAGUAGGUUGAUUCUGUUCAUCUGGACGUAACAUUUUUAAUGGGAGAAACGUUUCACCGCUCAUCUAAGUGACUUCUUGGAAACGUUUCUCCUAUUGAAAACGCUACGUCCAGAUGAACAGAAUCAACUUUUUGGGAUGUAUUUACCUGGAUGAUUGAGCAUGCAUCAAGAUCUUUAUGCAAAACACUUUUCAAAAAACCAAUAAUUUGCCAAAAAAAAUCCAAUAAAAGUAAAAUAAAAACUUAAGAUAAUGAAUAUGACUAUCAGGUUUCAGCAUUGGCUCUGAGUAUGUCAGGACUAAAGGGCAUUUCUGUCUCUUUUAAGAUGUUAACUAGCUUGCCAUAACAGGCCAAUAGUUGGUCCUCUAACUAAUCUAACAUGUCUAGGACAAACCUCAACCCCAAUAUUUAUUGGAUGUUAAAAUAAGUGGCAAAAGUGAGAAGAUUUUAGCAGCUAACCAGACCGAACAGGGAAUGCAAAAGAUACGUUUUUACAGUUAAUCAUCUAGGUCAAAAUUCAUAUUUGAUUGUGCCACCACUUCUCUACUGUGUCCUAGUGUAGACCAUCACACUUUUAACUGAUUUAAUAAUGUUGUUUCAAGAAUGUUUACAUGAGACAUUUUAGAUAGUGGCAUCUUGGAAAAGACCAUAUUUAAAUCUGGGUUAGAAACUUAUGAUAGAUCCUGAAAAAUUCUUUAUGAACCAUCUCACUCUUCUUUUAUUUAAAAGGAAAACAGACUGCUAUUUCAUUUUUAUCUUUUUAUGUUUUUACUCCACUAUAUUAAGCCCAUGUGCUUUAAUAGAAGUACCUUGUCUUGCCUCGUCUUGCAUACUGUCAUUUUUUAUUCCUGCUUUUGCAAACUGUGUGGGCAGGAAACUAUUUGCACCUACACUCCCAACAACCGCAUUAAAGCUUCCAUUCAUUACUGCCUGCACUUUCCACGUGCAGUAUCAGCACACACGUGGCUGAAGCCAAUUAAUCAUCACAGGUUCCCAUCAGUAUUACCUUGAAAUGGCUGUAACUUCCUCUUCAAAGCUGAAAAUAUGUCUGGAUUCUCUUCACGGUAUUCCUUUCAUUGCAAUUAUGCAGUCAUCACCCACAUAAAACAAAGCAAGACUGAAAGAUAUGUGAGAGUUGUUCAACUGUUAGUGAAACUGACAGUUGAACAACUCAAACAUUUAGGUUUGUGGACUAUCUGAGUUGUAAACACCUGCAUAUUUAGGGUCAAGACAUCUUGGAAACACACAAAAUAUUGGAAUGGACUUUACUGGAUGUACGGAAUGAAUUCAUACAGGAACUGCUGAAUGGCACAGAUAAUGAUAUGGAUUUUGAUUGCGAUAUUUUCAUACUUCAGUGCUCAAACAUGUUCAAAAUGCUUUUUGCAUUUUUCUUCUGUCACAUUUUCUCUCGGUUUCAGUCUCAGCAGACGUCUAAAGACUUGUUCUGUACACUUCCUGCAUAUUUCAAAUACUUACGUUUGAUUCCUUUGCUUUUGUUCAACUAUGAUCUUUGGUCGGAAAAAAUCAAAAGAACUUUAUGCAUCUUAGGCAUCAAAAGCAUUAGAAGCAUCUGAAGCAUUGAUCUAUGCGAAACUGAGAACACCAUUAGCAUUACGUCACGCCAACAUAUUUGUACUUACUGCAACCUAAACCUGAUUCUGCACCUUCAUUUUCCAGUCAGUCCCCAAAAAUGUGACUAUACUGGGAUUAAUAUAUAAGAGGAGCCUUUGCAAGAAUUUACUGUUUUACCCCAGUCUUUGUGAUUUAAUGUUAGUUGGCUGAAAAUGUAUAAAUAUCUUUGGGAGUACAGAUAUCCACUUAUAAUUAAAUUCUGCUGCAGGGUGUGCCUAGAUUUUGUGCAAUCAAUUUAAUUAGCAAGAGCCAGCAGAGACAGAGACAGCUGAUGAACCCGAGUCCUUAUUGCAAAACGCCUAGACACAAAGGCAAACACUCAGACAAGCAGUGGGAACCUUGACUGAAUGUGUGGGUGAAUGGAGGAUAACAUGGCUGGGAGAUGUGUCACAAAGAGUUUCACCUUUUUCAUCAGCAAGGUGUGAGAUUCCUAAACACAUUCAUGCUCUCGGAAUCUUUUGGAGCAGUCUUUGAAAAAUACAGCAUGUGAUGAGGCAAGUCACUGGUCGUCUGAUUAACUGUUCACGAACAGCAAAAAUGACUGAAAUUAGACGUCAUACAGAAAUAUCUUGGUGGCCAGUGGGCUGGUCCGGCUCUCUGCCCCAUACUCAGUUUUCUGUGUCCGUGGGUUGGUGGGUUUAUCCGCAAAGGCAGAUUAUGUUUAAGAGACAUGCAGAUCUUAAAGGGUUUGAAAGUGUAGACUGAGACACCGAUUGAGAAAAAGUGUUUAUUUCUGACAACUCAGGUAUUAUGUCAGAGAAAAUCCUGAAAAAACCGUGAACCCGAGCAGUUAGUUAGAAUGGAAAAGUAAGAUUAAAGUAACAUCAAAUUUGUUUGAUAGGAACCACAUGCAAGACCUGAUCAAAAGUCUCCUGGACUCAACCCAUACAACUCAACAUUAUUUCAAUUUUGGCUGAUCUCCCCUUCAAGGUCAUCUUCUUGUGCACUGCUGAGCAGAUCCCUCCAUGGCUGCCGUUGUUUGUAUCCUCCUUGAAAGUCCUGUUAUUACCUCUUUCUUAGCUGUGAUCUUUACAUUAGGUUUUAGCAUUGUUGUUAGAAUUGAAUUCAAAAUCCUGCUCCUCACAUACAAGGUCUUAAAUAAUCAGGCCCCAUCUGAAAUUAAUGACCUUGUAGUACCUUAUCACCCUAUUAGAGCACUUCGC